Humulus lupulus (European hop) is the source of this 259-nucleotide long non-coding RNA. RefSeq lists it as uncharacterized. The transcript is spliced from 2 exons. Lineage: Eukaryota; Viridiplantae; Streptophyta; Magnoliopsida; Rosales; Cannabaceae. The record is from RefSeq and is a predicted model, not a curated record.
GCUGUUGAGACAAAUGAAAAAACCUUGGAUCAGCAUAAGGCAUAUAUUGCUGAACAACAAAGAGAGGUUGAGCGAGUUCGUCAAAGAGAACAACUUCUAGUCAAGGCUGAGACCAUGAAAAAGAAAGUGCCAUGGAUAAAGUAUGACAUGAUGAAGGCGACAUAUUUGGAAGCCAAUGAAAAGGAGAAAGAUGCAAAGAAAAAACUGGAUUAUUAGUUAAUCAGGUUAUUCUGAAUGUCAGGAAGAGUUGUUUCAGGUG